GGUCGGUUAGCUCAGUUGGUUAGAGCGUGGUGCUAAUAACGCCAAGGCCGCGGGUUCGACCCCCGUACUGACCA
Rhizodiscina lignyota is the source of this 74-nucleotide non-coding RNA. The record is from the annotation of a GenBank genome assembly. NCBI's taxonomy places the organism in Eukaryota, Fungi, Ascomycota, Dothideomycetes, Aulographales, Rhizodiscinaceae.